RNAcentral lists this ribosomal RNA (429 nucleotides) under Actinomycetes bacterium. RNAcentral describes it as "Actinobacteria bacterium partial 16S ribosomal RNA". It matches the Rfam family "Bacterial small subunit ribosomal RNA", at positions 355 to 776 of the family's 1533-position model. Lineage: Bacteria; Bacillati; Actinomycetota; Actinomycetes. The record is from RNAcentral.
UAGGGAAUCUUCCGCAAUGGGCGAAAGCCUGACGGAGCAACGCCGCGUGAGUGAUGAAGGUCUUCGGAUCGUAAAACUCUGUUAUUAGGGAAGAACAAAUGUGUAAGUAACUAUGCACGUCUUGACGGUACCUAAUCAGAAAGCCACGGCUAACUACGUGCCAGCAGCCGCGGUAAUACGUAGGUGGCAAGCGUUAUCCGGAAUUAUUGGGCGUAAAGCGCGCGUAGGCGGUUUUUUAAGUCUGAUGUGAAAGCCCACGGCUCAACCGUGGAGGGUCAUUGGAAACUGGAAAACUUGAGUGCAGAAGAGGAAGGUGGAAUUCCAUGUGUAGCGGUGAAAUGCGCAGAGAUAUGGAGGAACACCAGUGGCGAAGGCGACUUUCUGGUCUGUAACUGACGCUGAUGUGCGAAAGCGUGGGGAUCAAACAGG